AUUGAACGCUGGCGGCAGGCCUAACACAUGCAAGUCGAACGGUAACAGGAAGCAGCUUGCUGCUUUGCUGACGAGUGGCGGACGGGUGAGUAAUGUCUGGGAAACUGCCCGAUGGAGGGGGAUAACUACUGGAAACGGUAGCUAAUACCGCAUAACGUCGCAAGACCAAAGAGGGGGACCUUAGGGCCUCUUGCCAUCGGAUGUGCCCAGAUGGGAUUAGCUAGUAGGUGGGGUAACGGCUCACCUAGGCGACGAUCCCUAGCUGGUCUGAGAGGAUGACCAGCCACACUGGAACUGAGACACGGUCCAGACUCCUACGGGAGGCAGCAGUGGGAAAUAUUGCACAAUGGGCGCAAGCCUGAU
RNAcentral lists this ribosomal RNA (363 nucleotides) under uncultured Escherichia sp. RNAcentral describes it as "bacterial SSU rRNA". It matches the Rfam family "Bacterial small subunit ribosomal RNA", at positions 30 to 387 of the family's 1533-position model. The record is from RNAcentral. Lineage: Bacteria; Pseudomonadati; Pseudomonadota; Gammaproteobacteria; Enterobacterales; Enterobacteriaceae.